Trichosporon asahii var. asahii CBS 8904 is the source of this 111-nucleotide transfer RNA. It matches the Rfam family "tRNA". Rfam says of the family: Transfer RNA (tRNA) molecules are approximately 80 nucleotides in length. Their secondary structure includes four short double-helical elements and three loops (D, anti-codon, and T loops). NCBI's taxonomy places the organism in Eukaryota, Fungi, Basidiomycota, Tremellomycetes, Trichosporonales, Trichosporonaceae. The record is from Rfam.
GGUCGCGUGGCCCAAUGGCAAGGCGUCUGACUACGACUUCUGGCUCUUCGCAGUUCAUCGCGGAGUUCCGAGGUAAUCAGGAGAUUGCGGGUUCGAUCCCCGUCGUGACCU